RNAcentral lists this ribosomal RNA (1535 nucleotides) under Listeria monocytogenes. Its description in RNAcentral is "partial 23S ribosomal RNA". It matches the Rfam family "Bacterial large subunit ribosomal RNA", at positions 1 to 1528 of the family's 2925-position model. Lineage: Bacteria; Bacillati; Bacillota; Bacilli; Caryophanales; Listeriaceae. The record is from RNAcentral.
UUGGUUAAGUUAGAAAGGGCGCACGGUGGAUGCCUUGGCACUAGGAGCCGAAGAAGGACGGGACUAACACCGAUAUGCUUUGGGGAGCUGUACGUAAGCGUUGAUCCAGAGAUUUCCGAAUGGGGGAACCCACUAUCUUUAGUCGGAUAGUAUCCUUACGUGAAUACAUAGCGUAAGGAAGGCAGACCCAGGGAACUGAAACAUCUAAGUACCUGGAGGAAGAGAAAGAAAAAUCGAUUUCCUGAGUAGCGGCGAGCGAAACGGAAAGAGCCCAAACCAAGAAGCUUGCUUCUUGGGGUUGUAGGACACUCUAUACGGAGUUACAAAAGAAAGUUAUAAAUGAAGCGGUCUGGAAAGGCCCGCCAAAGACGGUAACAGCCCGGUAGUUGAAAUGGCUUUCCCUCCAGAGUGGAUCCUGAGUACGGCGGAACACGUGAAAUUCCGUCGGAAUCCGGGAGGACCAUCUCCCAAGGCUAAAUACUCCCUAGUGACCGAUAGUGAACCAGUACCGUGAGGGAAAGGUGAAAAGCACCCCGGAAGGGGAGUGAAACAGUUCCUGAAACCGUGUGCCUACAAGUAGUUAGAGCCCGUUAAUGGGUGAUAGCGUGCCUUUUGUAGAAUGAACCGGCGAGUUACGAUUUGUUGCAAGGUUAAGCGGAAAAAGCGGAGCCGUAGCGAAAGCGAGUCUGAAUAGGGCGCAUAAGUAACAGGUCGUAGACCCGAAACCAGGUGAUCUACCCAUGUCCAGGAUGAAGGUAAGGUAAUACUUACUGGAGGUCCGAACCCACGCACGUUGAAAAGUGCGGGGAUGAGGUGUGGGUAGCGGAGAAAUUCCAAUCGAACUUGGAGAUAGCUGGUUCUCUCCGAAAUAGCUUUAGGGCUAGCCUCGAGGUAAAGAGUCAUGGAGGUAGAGCACUGUUUGGACUAGGGGCCCUUCUCGGGUUACCGAAUUCAGAUAAACUCCGAAUGCCAUGUACUUAUACUCGGGAGUCAGACUGCGAGUGAUAAGAUCCGUAGUCGAAAGGGAAACAGCCCAGACCACCAGUUAAGGUCCCCAAAUAUAUGUUAAGUGGAAAAGGAUGUGGGGUUGCUUAGACAACCAGGAUGUUGGCUUAGAAGCAGCCACCAUUGAAAGAGUGCGUAAUAGCUCACUGGUCGAGUGACCCCGCGCCGAAAAUGUACCGGGGCUAAACAUAUUACCGAAACUGUGGAUGAACCUCUUUAGAGGUUCGUGGUAGGAGAGCGUUCUAAGGGCGGUGAAGUCAGACCGGAAGGACUGGUGGAGCGCUUAGAAGUGAGAAUGCCGGUAUGAGUAGCGAAAGAAGGGUGAGAAUCCCUUCCACCGAAUAUCUAAGGUUUCCUGAGGAAGGCUCGUCCGCUCAGGGUUAGUCGGGACCUAAGCCGAGGCCGAUAGGCGUAGGCGAUGGACAACAGGUAGAGAUUCCUGUACCAGUGCUAAUUGUUUAACCGAUGGGGUGACACAGAAGGAUAGGGAAUCGCACGAAUGGAAAUGUGCGUCCAAGCAGUGAGUGUGA